This 468-nucleotide ribosomal RNA is filed under the name uncultured bacterium. RNAcentral's name for it is "partial 16S ribosomal RNA". It matches the Rfam family "Bacterial small subunit ribosomal RNA", at positions 28 to 507 of the family's 1533-position model. The record is from RNAcentral.
GACGAACGCUGGCGGCGUGCUUAACACAUGCAAGUCGAACGGAAAGGCCCUGCUUUUGUGGGGUGCUCGAGUGGCGCGCGGGUGAGUAACACGUGAGUAACCUGCCCUUGACUUUGGGAUAACUUCAGGAAACUGGGGCUAAUACCGGAUAGGAGCUCCUGCUGCAUGGUGGGGGUUGGAAAGUUUCGGCGGUUGGGGAUGGACUCGCGGCUUAUCAGCUUGUUGGUGGGGUAGUGGCUUACCAAGGCUUAGACGGGUAGCCGGCCUGAGAGGGUGACCGGCCACAUUGGGACUGAGGGAGGGCCCAGAGUCCUACGGGGGGCAGCAGUGGAAAAUAUUGCACAGUGAGCGGAAGCCUGAUGCGGCAACGCCGCGUGCGGGAUGACGGCCUUCGGGUUGUAAACCGCUUUCGCCUGAGACGAAGCGUUAGUGACGUUAAUAGGUAAAGAAGCACCGGCUAACUACGUG